AAUCAGCGGUGCCCCUCGGUGUGAGGGAGCGAUGGCGGCGGCGGCGGCUGAAACGCGGCUUUAUCUUCAACAGAUGUGCGGCUAUGAAGCUUAGCGGGGCUCAGCUCGGCGCGCGGCCGUCCAGGAGCUGCUGAGCGAAGGACCAGGCUGGUGUUGUGGGCUCCAUCGUGUGGCCCCAGCUCCUGCCUCAGCACCAGCAUCACCCGGUGCCAGGACCAUGGGGCCAGCCCUGCCCGGUGCUGCUGCACCUCUGUGGGGAUGGAGAUGGUGAGGAGGAUGAUGAAGAAGAGCCCAUGGAUCAGGAUGAGGAGAGAUUAACCCUUACCCUGCCGAAACCUCUGUGCAUCGAAGACGUGCACCAGCUCCCCACGCCACAGCGGCAGCACCAUGGUACGUGCAGCUCAGCAGUGAACCUCCAGCAUUCCUGUCGUCAUUCGCAUCAUCCCGGAUCCAUCCCAGAGAUGCAGGAAGAUCCCUCGAUGCCCCGUAGCGACCCAGAGAGACUCCUGGACACUCCAUAAAGCCCUGUACACCCUACAGGCAUCGCAUAGAGCCAUACAGUGACCCACAGACACCCGACAGCAACCAUUGGACCCAUAUAGACCCCAUAGUGACCCAUAGAUCCCCAUAACUACCCACAGAGACCACAGAGUGACCCACACACUGCCCCAUGGCAACCCAUAUCACCCCAUAGACACCCUCCACUGCCCCAUAGCAUCCUAUAGACCCACAACUCACACCCCACAGCUUUUAUUGACCACUGGCAUUGCAGUAACAGCAGCAGAAUCUGUAUACAUAGCACCCGAUAGGAUGGUGAGUAGAACCUGGCAGGCAGACAGGCACCAGGAUCCAGCAGGUGGGCAGUAGGACCUCGCAGGCAGGUGGGAAGGCAGGCACUAGGACCCAGCCUGCAGAAUCUGGGAACCUGUGGGCAGACAUUAGGACCCAGUGGGCAGGCAGUCAGGUGGGCAGUGGGGCAGACACCAGGUCAGUAAAGGCCUGGGAGGUGUGAGCUGUGUUGUGGGUUGGGCUACUGUGGGAUUAUGGGCAUGGUCUCGGUUAGGGGUCAGGGCUAGUAAAGGGGUGGGUCCUGUGCUGGGGUCAGGCCCAUGAGGGCCAUGGGUGUGGUCUAGGCUGUGGGUGGAGGCACAACUGUGGUGGGGCCAGUGUACAGGUGGAGCUUGGUGCUGGUGAGGGAGUGGGGCGGCUGGGGGCAUGGUCCAGGCUGUGGACAGGGUUAGGGUGGAUGCAGAGACAAGUGGCUCUCCAGGGGGGUCAUAGGUCAGGGGUCAAAGCCCAAAUGUCAUU
Molecule: long non-coding RNA, 1308 nt
Filed under: Strigops habroptila (Kakapo)
Lineage: Eukaryota; Metazoa; Chordata; Aves; Psittaciformes; Psittacidae
Description: lncRNA (ENSSHBG00005007331.1)
Source: RNAcentral